This 440-nucleotide ribosomal RNA is filed under the name uncultured bacterium. Its description in RNAcentral is "partial 16S ribosomal RNA". It matches the Rfam family "Bacterial small subunit ribosomal RNA", at positions 338 to 795 of the family's 1533-position model. The record is from RNAcentral.
CCUACGGGUGGCAGCAGUAGGGAAUAUUGCUCAAUGGGGGAAACCCUGAAGCAGCAACGCCGCGUGGAGGAUGAAGGUCUUAGGAUUGUAAACCCCUUUUUUUAGAGAAGAUAAUGACGGUAUCUAACGAAUAAGCACCGGCUAACUCCGUGCCAGCAGCCGCGGUAAUACGGAGGGUGCAAGCGUUACUCGGAUGCACUGGGCGUAAAGGGAGCGUAGACGGGAUAGCAAGUCAGAUGUGAAAUCCUAUGGCUUAACCAUAGAAUUGCAUUUGAGACUGUUAUUCUUGAGUAUAGGAGAGGUAGGUGGAAUUCUUGGUGUAGCGGUGAAAUGCGUAGAGAUCAAGAGGAAUACUCAUUGCGAAGGCGGCCUGCUAGAACAUAACUGACGCUGAUGCGCGAAAGCGUGGGGAGCAAACAGGAUUAGAUACCCCAGUAGUC